UAAUACUUCUCGCUACAGGGUCCAGCCGUCCACCCGCCAGAACCCCCAACUUUCUUAGGUUGACCUCGGAUCAGGUAGGGAUACCCGCUGAACUUAAGCAUAUCAAUAAGCGGAGGAAAAGAAACCAACAGGGAUUGCCUCAGUAACGGCGAGUGAAGCGGCAACAGCUCAAAUUUGAAAUCUGCCUCUAGGCCGAGUUGUAAUUUGUAGAAGAUGCUUCGGGUGUGGCACCGGUCUAAGUUCCUUGGAACAGGACGUCAUAGAGGGUGAGAAUCCCGUACGUGACUGGCUGCCUUCGCCUAUGUGAAGCUCUUUCGACGAGUCGAGUUGUUUGGGAAUGCAGCUCAAAAUGGGUGGUAUAUUUCAUCUAAAGCUAAAUAUUGGCCAGAGACCGAUAGCGCACAAGUAGAGUGAUCGAAAGAUGAAAAGCACUUUGGAAAGAGAGUUAAACAGUACGUGAAAUUGUUGAAAGGGAAGCGCUUGCAACUAGACUUGCGCGCCGUCGAUCAUCCGAGGUUUUCCCCGGUGCACUCGGCGGUGCUCAGGCCAGCAUCGGUUUCGGUGGUUGGAUAAAGGCCUUGGGAAUGUGGCUCCUCUAGGAGUGUUAUAGCCCUCGGUGCAAUGCAGCCUACCGGGACCGAGGACCGCGCUUCGGCUAGGAUGCUGGCGUAAUGGUUGUAAGCGACCCGUCUUGAAACACGGACC
Molecule: ribosomal RNA, 705 nt
Filed under: uncultured fungus
Lineage: Eukaryota; Fungi
Description: eukaryotic LSU rRNA
Rfam family: Eukaryotic large subunit ribosomal RNA
Source: RNAcentral